Magnolia sinica is the source of this 568-nucleotide long non-coding RNA. RefSeq lists it as uncharacterized. The transcript is spliced from 3 exons. Lineage: Eukaryota; Viridiplantae; Streptophyta; Magnoliopsida; Magnoliales; Magnoliaceae. The record is from RefSeq and is a predicted model, not a curated record.
AAAAUGAGCUUAUGGUCUAAUUUGACAAAUUGUCUUUUACUAUUUUUUCUGUGUAAUUUUUUGUUCAUGCUACUUCUAUCAGCUACAUGAAUAUAGAAUGGAUCCUUAUCCAUUUGUCUUAACAAUACUGAGAUUGAGGAAAGUGAACUCUCUGAUGCAAGCUCAACAAAUUUGAAAGAAGAUGGAUCUUCACCAUCCCUAACUCUGAUCAGAAAGCAAGGAUGGUAUUCAGAUAAACUUUCAUAUUUAAAAGGAAAAGUGCCUUCCUCGAUAGGAAUUCCAACAUCAGUUGCCCUGCCCUUUGGAGUUUUUGAGAAGGUUUUGUUAGAUGAUUCAAACCAGAAAUGACAUAGGUGAUUAUCAAGCAAAUGCUAGAUGUGUAUGCCUAGAUGAGGGCUUCACUUGGUGAGGCAUGCAUUUCGUUCUCAUGUUUUGAUUUUUGAAGCUUUUUUUCUUUUUAUUGUUUAAAUUGUGUAAAAGAGAGCUGAUUGAUGUGGUAUGUUUUUGUUGUAUUUUUUAAUGAGAUUUUAUGGAUUUUUUUUUUUUAAUUGUUUCUUUGAGUGUGGCA